Molecule: transfer RNA, 89 nt
Filed under: Caudoviricetes sp.
Lineage: Duplodnaviria; Heunggongvirae; Uroviricota; Caudoviricetes
Description: tRNA-Ser
Rfam family: tRNA
About the family: Transfer RNA (tRNA) molecules are approximately 80 nucleotides in length. Their secondary structure includes four short double-helical elements and three loops (D, anti-codon, and T loops). Further hydrogen bonds mediate the characteristic L-shaped molecular structure. tRNAs have two regions of fundamental functional importance: the anti-codon, which is responsible for specific mRNA codon recognition, and the 3' end, to which the tRNAs corresponding amino acid is attached (by aminoacyl-tRNA synthetases). tRNAs cope with the degeneracy of the genetic code in two manners: having more than one tRNA (with a specific anti-codon) for a particular amino acid; and 'wobble' base-pairing, i.e. permitting non-standard base-pairing at the 3rd anti-codon position.
Source: RNAcentral
GGAGUGUUACUCAAGUUGGUGAAGAGGAGAGAUUGCUAAUCUUUUAGUACGCUAUAUGCGUAGCACAGGUUCGAGUCCUGUACACUCCG